AGAGCUCAGUGGAUUGUGUAGAGUACUGUACUGUUAUAGAUGGAAGAAGAGUGAAAACUACAGAAAUAGAUGUUGUAAAAGAAGAGGCAGCAGCAGAAAGCAGAGCCCCAUGCUGUAUUACCUAAGGAAGAGGCCUAGAACCAAUAACUGCAUCAUCUGACCUUGCAACACAGGUAGCAGAAACAACAGAAGCUGCUGAUGAUACUGUGGACAUUGGGGAAGUCCAAAUCAGACCAGAACAGACAGGGUCAACAACAAGUGGUAAAAAAGAUGAUGGUAAAGAAAUAGAUGAUUUGCCUGAUGAUACUGAUACAGUC
This is a long non-coding RNA of Mercenaria mercenaria, 317 nucleotides long. RefSeq lists it as uncharacterized. The transcript is spliced from 3 exons. Lineage: Eukaryota; Metazoa; Mollusca; Bivalvia; Venerida; Veneridae. The record is from RefSeq and is a predicted model, not a curated record.